Long non-coding RNA from Cyprinus carpio (common carp), 2782 nucleotides. RefSeq lists it as uncharacterized. NCBI's taxonomy places the organism in Eukaryota, Metazoa, Chordata, Actinopteri, Cypriniformes, Cyprinidae. The record is from RefSeq and is a predicted model, not a curated record.
AUAAUAACUACUUUAUACUGACGUUCCCGGUAAGAGCGUCCAAUCAACUAACAUACUUAAUAUUCAUGAGCCAGGCUUCGUUCUGCCUUUCACCCAAUCAGGUAAGCCUAUUCACGAACCCUCCUGAUACGUCAUCAACAUUCAGGAACCAAGCCUUCGCCAUAGACAGUGAGAGAGGAGAUUGUCCCAGCUUCCACUGCCUUUGCCAUUUGACAUUGAAGAUGUGGGUGAAUUGUCUUGAGAAUCUGUAUGCAAAGGGACCGAAAGCCUGAAAAAGUCUCAACGGUGGCGAUGUUCCAGGAAAUUAGCUCCAGGGAAACUCAGAAGGGAGCGGGCAAAGCCAGGCAUCAUUAGCAGAAAGCGUCUUUGCCUUCUGCGAACUUCAAGAAGCAAAUGAACAUCGGCUGCAGGAACAUACGCCAUUAAUGAUGGCCAAUGUAGAUGUUUGUUCAGUGCUGUGAAACAGAAAAUUGCCCUGUACUGUACUGAACCUAAAGAGACAUGUAAAUGAAUGUUAGAAGGAUUUAUCCAGUAAUUAUUUCCAUUCCUGCCAACAUACUGUAUGUGAGGAGGGAAAGCAGUCAAUGCUCAUUAUUUGAUUUUUAUGCCUAAUUUUGUAUUAGUAUUGUCAUCUGUUUUCUACAAAUGUCAUGGAAGCUGGAAGCGUGGCACACUCUCAAGACAUUUCAACUGGCAACGUUGCCUGAUACAAAUACCCAUUGUUCCCUGUUGUUUUGCUGGGGAGCACUCUACUGAGAAUGAAGAGCCAGACGUGCUCCUUUAGGAGCCUGUGAGAUCUGUGUUUUUCUCUCACUGUGAUGGAAAGUGAUCAAGGCAACAAGUCCCAGGAGAGGUAACGUCUAGUGAUGGUCACAUCCUCGACAGGAUCUCUCGCUGCUGAGGAGACAUGUUUAGGAUGUGUGCUCUUAUUUACAGUGUAACUGAAAACUGUGUUGUCUGAUGCCCAUUUCUGGGUGUUUGCACCAAUAGAGCCUGUGCCAGCUGUUUACAUAUGCAUAUCAAUAUUGCGGCAGAAGAUAUCAUGAAUAAUAACUUAAUUUUUAAAUUGUGUAAUUUUUUUUAUUUUAUUAUAAGUUAUGGAUUUUCAUUUAUGGUGAACAAAUUUAGAGUGAAGUGAAAUGUUAUUGCAUGUAUGACAAAUUUGUGUAAAAAUUUAAAAAGCGAUAUACGAAACAACUAAUGGACAAUUGUUUGCUAGGGACAGUGUUAAUUGAAAAAAAAUAAUAAUGCAUGUUCAAUAUUAUGCAAAAAUACUGAAUAUGUUGAAACUAUACUGAUUAAAUAAGAAUUGAGUAUUUACAAUUUUAUUUUAGCCUAAAAUAAUGUAAGGAUAUUACAUGUUGCAUACAGAGGCAUCAAAUGAUUGUGUGUGUGUGUGUGUUUGAUAGCAGAGAUUGUCUUUUUGAACUCAGACAAUAUGUUGCUGUUUUUACUUAUAGAUUUUUAUAUCAAUGCAUCAUAGUAAAUACUGUGUAUAUACUGCGAUCAUCAGCAAACCGUAAAGAACUGUUUCCACGUUGAGUGAUGGAACAUGUUGCUCCUUUUAGUUUGAGCUGGUUAGGACACUCCCCGAGAGAUGAUUAUCAUGGAGCAUGAGCAGCUCUUAUUUAGAACAGCAUCAUUAAAGUACUGCUGUGGGGAAAUAUCCAUGGGCGUAGUCAAAGAACUGCAUAUGUCAAGUCAUCUGAUGGAAAGGGAAAAAGUGCAUCAGCAGCGCAGGGACGGUGAGGACGAUGGACAAAUAUGCCCACCAUAUCCAUUGCGGCUCAAUCACUACUCUGCUUUUAAAGCAGCUCUGACAGUAAAAGGUCUAACUUGCCUCAGGCUCUACCAAGGAACCGUAUUUUUUUUUUUACAUUUUAUGUUUCGCUUGCAUUACGCACUCACUCUUGGGUACUUUUGGAUAAAUCACAUAUUUCUAUAAUCCCACAAUAUUUCAUCCCUCAUGCUACACAGCCUCGAUUUCCAGGUGAUCUGGGCCAAAUGUAUUGCCAAACGAACAGGAAUUAGCAUUCUAAUGGGUGACAGAUUCAAUCAAGGUUUUGUGUUAGACAGUUUGUGGAUCAGAUAGUAAAAUGCUUGUUAGAUUUUGUUAAGUUACAAUUCUUCAUUCACUACAUGAAACACUAUGUGAAGAACUGGUCCAGAUAGAGACUUUUAAUAUGCAUAAGAGUGACAUAAAUUGAAAUGAAUGUAGAAUCCAAAGACUGUAAAAGCAGGCUUAUGCCAGUACUGAUGCCAUGUGUCAUUCUGAUAAAACAUCUCUAAGUGACUGUUUGAAGAGGUGCUGUUUCAUGUGUGUGUGGGAUCUGGCAGGUUCAGUACUCUUGCCCUGUUAGUCAUACUGUGGGGGCAUUUGCACUUUAUUUGCCUUUAUGAAAAUGAACAAAAUACUCUUAAGAUCUUAUUUUCACCUAGUAGCAAGGUGAUUUUGUAAACAAUGUCAACAAACUUUCUUUAUUCUCAGAGAUGGCUGGGUCAGCUUUUUCAUUAUUUGUGUGAAAAUGCUUUUACAUGCACAGUCACGUACUGGAUUUUUUUUUUUUUUUAUUUUGCAGGGAAGGUCAGGCCCGAUAUGUACAUUCGCCUAGGGUCCCGAAAUACGCCACAUUCAUUGAAGAGAAUAGUACUGUGGUGUCAUCCAGUGGCUAGUCAUUAGUAAACGUGGAAAGGACAGACUGGAGGGUUGUGCACACAUGAACAGGCAGAGAGGAUGUUUAGACACUGUGCUCAUCAAAUAAGAUUCAUAUUAAAGCUUCAU